This 72-nucleotide transfer RNA is filed under the name Bos taurus (domestic cattle). It matches the Rfam family "tRNA". Rfam says of the family: Transfer RNA (tRNA) molecules are approximately 80 nucleotides in length. Their secondary structure includes four short double-helical elements and three loops (D, anti-codon, and T loops). Further hydrogen bonds mediate the characteristic L-shaped molecular structure. tRNAs have two regions of fundamental functional importance: the anti-codon, which is responsible for specific mRNA codon recognition, and the 3' end, to which the tRNAs corresponding amino acid is attached (by aminoacyl-tRNA synthetases). tRNAs cope with the degeneracy of the genetic code in two manners: having more than one tRNA (with a specific anti-codon) for a particular amino acid; and 'wobble' base-pairing, i.e. permitting non-standard base-pairing at the 3rd anti-codon position. The record is from Rfam by way of RNAcentral. Lineage: Eukaryota; Metazoa; Chordata; Mammalia; Artiodactyla; Bovidae. RNAcentral also lists the same sequence under 1 other name.
UCCCUGGUGGUCCAGUGAUUAGGACUUUGUGUUUUUACUGCCAAGGGCCCGGGUUCAAUCCUUGCUGGGGAA